UGCUAUUCGGAGGAGGGUGAAUCUGAAUAAGAAUCCGAUCAUCCAGAUUAGUAGGGGCCUUGGGCACAUGAUUAGGCCCCCUACCCAAGCCGCGCUUUUUCUGCGCUGCUUCAGAAGCCAUCUGUAUAUUACAAAUUUCAAGAUGUUAUUAUGAGUUAUAUUUGAUUACAUGUAUAUAUGAAUAUAUAAAAUGACAAUAAACAUGACACUGAUAUAAACAUGUAUAUAUAUAUAUAUAUAUGAAUAUAAAAUGACAAUAAACAAAAGUUGCAUUUAAAUAGUUUAGUACAUAAACAAUGAUAUAAAAAACAUGUAAUGCUAAACAUACAUUUCAUUUGUUCAAGUGUCAAUGUCUGAUUCAGAAUCAUCUUGUAUACAUGUUGCAGAUUCAUAACCAUCAUCUGCUUCAGAUUCAGUGUCAGAUUCAGUCAAUAACUCUUCCUCCUCAGUAUCAAUGUCAUCUGACACAAGUAUUGACUCGGGAUCUAAUUCAUGUGGUUCAUCUCCACCAUCUAAUUGGAUUAAUUCAUUGUCGUCCUCCACAUUUAUUAUAGUUUGACUGUGAAGCAUCUGCUCUUGGUAAAUCUGCCCAUCAACUACUUCUGCAAGUCUACGCGCGGGAGUAUGAAUUACAACUUGCCAAUCUGUAGGCGGUCUAUCCCUUUUCCUAACAAGACUAGGAGUGUAGUAUACUUGUACUGUUUGAGUUGGUAAAAUAAACGGUUCGUUGGAGUACGCAGAUCUAUGGAGGUCAAUAUCGACGAUUCCAUGUCUGUCAUGAUGUAUCCCUUUUUCUGAAUCAAACCAACGGCACUUGAACAAGUGAAUAUGACCCUCGUACGUGCCCUUGUACGACAACUCUACGAUUUCCUCCAACUCCCCAUAAAAGGCACGACCAAGAUCAUUGUAACAAUCUCCUUGGACACACACUCCAGAGUUCGUUGUUCUUUUACCGCACCCAUAUGCCUUUGUAUGAAAUUUACAACCAUUUAUUUUGUAACCAUUGCGGCUGACUUGGUCCCUGUUUGGUCCCAUAGCUAGGACUUGUACAUUAGCCAGAUCGUUAAUCCCUCAGUCAAAGUCUACAAAAACUCCAUCUUAUUAAAUGAAGUCAUAGUUAAUAUGGAGUAUAUAUAUAUAUAUAUAUAUAUAUAUAUAUAUAUAUAUAUAUAUAUAUAUAUAUAUAUAUAUAUAUAUAUAUAUAUAUAUAUAUNNNNNNNNNNNNNNNNNNNNNNNNNNNNNNNNNNNNNNNNNNNNNNNNNNNNNNNNNNNNNNNNNNNNNNNNNNNNNNNNNNNNNNNNNNNNNNNNNNNNCGUUAUGCCGGGAUGAUUCGCUUUUAACUCGUCAUCAUAUAAUCUAUAACAUGUUAUAAACAUUAACAUAUUGGAAUAAAUUUUCAACUUAAAAGAUAAAUUAUCAAGUUUACAUGUGUACCUCACAAAUUCGUCAAUCUCCUCACAAUUGAGAAGAAUGUAAGUAUUUGCAGCAUAUAAUUCUUGCUUAGAGAGGAAUAUGCGCUUCUCUUUUCCAUAAGCGCGGCCCGAUAGACCAAAUACAGAGAGUCGACCAUUUAGUUCAACAUUUCCCCCAUCAUCAUGUCUCGAUACUCGAUUGGCCUUUGUCAAGACUUCGUCCGGAAAAUAGUCUGAGACAAACGUAGAUAUCUCAUCGAAACUGUAUGCCUCACAUAUCGACCCCUCGACAUAAGCUCUAUUUUUCACCUUCCUCUUAAGGUUUCCCAUCACCCUCUCGAAAGGGUACAUCCAUCUAUAUUGAACUAGACCCCCAACACAAGCUUCAUAGGGAUGAUGGAUUUGCAAAUGCUCCAUGUAGUCAAAAAAACCAGGUGAGAAUAUUUUUUCCAGUUUACACGUGAUCUCUAUGAUGUUCUUCUCAAGUACAGACAUGUCCUUCUCAUUUAAUGAUUUUGAACAUAAGUCUUUGAAGAAACGACUAAGAUCCGUCAAAGCAUCCCAUAUUGGUUUAUCAAGCAGAUCCCGAAAUGUUAUAGGCAUAAGUCUCUCCAUGAAUACAUGACAGUCAUGACUCUUCAUCCCUUGCAAUUUCCCACCCGUAACACACCUUGCAAUGUUUGACGCAUAUCCAUCUGGUAGUUUCAAAGACUUAAUCCAUGUGCACACAUCUUCAACUUGCUUUUUGGACAAUGUGUACCUUGCAUGCGAUUUGACAAUCUUACCAUUAGGAGAUUCAUAAAGUUCUAAUCCUGGACUCUUACAAAUAUCUUUCAUGUCCAAAUGUGCCUUAUCAUUAUCUUUUGUCUUCCCUGUAACAUUCAUCACGGUGUUAAACACAUUAUCAAACACAUUCUUCUCAAUAUGCAUCACAUCUAGAUUAUGACGAAUCAAAUUUGUAGACCAAUAAGGCAGUUCCCAAAAGAUGCUUCUCCGAACCUAGUUAUGAGAUUCGCCAAACCCAUUUAUUAUGUUUGUGGCAUCAAUCUUACCAAAUGGGAUAACCAGCAAUCUCAUCACACGAUCUCGCAUCUCCAUUCCUGACAAUCGCGGUGCAGGCAUAUCAUUGUCUACUUUCCCUUUCCUGAAGUGUUCUAUAUUUCUUCGAAACGGGUGAUCUACCGGCAAGAACCGACGAUGACAGUCAAACUAACAAGGCUUUUGACCUUUUGAUAGAUUAAAAGACUUUGUAUGCUCCAUACAAUACGGACAAGCCAACUUCCCGUGUGUACUCCAUCUUGCUAACAUACCAUAAGCUGGGAAGUCACUUAUAGUCCACAUAACCGCUGCCCUAAGUUUGAAAUUUGUUUUCAUUGCAACAUCCCAAGUCUGUACUCCAUCCUCCCACAAUACCUUCAUCUCGUCUAUAAGAGGUCUCAAGUAAACAUCUAAGUUAUUUCCAGGACUCUCAGGACCAGGAACCACGAGUGAAAGAAACAAGUAUGGCUGUUUCAUACACAUCUAAGGAGGCAAGUUGUACGGAGUAACAAUCACAGGCCAACAUGAGUACGAAACAGCUGAGUGGCCAAACGGAUUGAAACCAUCGGUGGACAAUCCAAGCCUCACAUUUCUAGGUUCCAAUGCAAACCCAGGAUGUGCUAAGUUGAAAUCUUUCCAAGCAUGCCCAUCUGCGGGAUGAUUUAGUUCUCCAUCUUUAGUUGGAGAUUUUGCAUGCCAACUCAUAUGUUCAGCUUUUCUUGAAGACAUGUACAAUCUUUNNNNNNNNNNNNNNNNNNNNNNNNNNNNNNNNNNNNNNNNNNNNNNNNNNNNNNNNNNNNNNNNNNNNNNNNNNNNNNNNNNNNNNNNNNNNNNNNNNNNCCUUAUCAUCUGUUCAUUUUCCUUAUAAAACAACAUGCAAUUGUUGGGACAUUCAUCGAUCUUUUGGUAUCCAAGACCCAACUUCUUCACCAUUUUCUUACAAAAGUAAUAGUUACCAGGUAAUUUCUCACCGUCAGGCAACAUACUCUUAAUGUCCUUCAAGAGCGACUCAAAACACUCAUGGCUCAUAUUGUGAUCAGCCUUGAUGUUAAGUAAUGUCGCCACUGCAGACAAUGUAGUGUGUUUGGUGAAACCAUGCCACAAUGGCUCUCUAGCCUCGUCUAACAACAUAAAGAAGUCUUUGGCAUCAGAAUUCAUAGGUUGCUCUCUGCCUUGUUCCCAAUCAAAAUUUGGCCCUGCAAUAUCAUGAACCAUUUCAUUCAUACGAUGAGUACUACUGCCCGAAUUGUGUACUUCUGUGAUGCCACCAUCUCUUCUCUGCAUAUGUGCCCACCAGCAUUCUUCAGAAUUUUUCAUGAACCCAGAAACAAGUAAAUGAAAGUUUACCACAUCUCUGUCCAUAUAAUUUACAUUCUUACACUUCAAACAUGGACAUCGUAUUUGUGACUGACCAUUCAUACAUUCCGGGUGACUAUACGCAUACUCCAAAAACACUUGGCAACCAGCUCUAAAUUCAGCUGUAGCACUUAUCUAGGCACUUGACUUUCGUCGUGCCAUCCAACUACGGUCAGAAUAGAGGUCCAUGAUUCCACGGUACCUACUUGUAAGCAUGCACAUGAUUAACAUUAAAGCAUACUUGUAAGCAUAUGACUUGAGGGCAUACUUGUAAUCAUAUAACUUGAGUAUACUUGUAAGCAUAUGAUUAAUAUUUAAGCAUACUUGAUGUUAACGAAUGAAUGCAAAUUAAAGCAGUAUGAGAAACUUUAAAUGUUAUUAAAUUUAGUAUGAGAAACUAAGUAAAUGCUACUUAGUUUAAUAGUUAUAUUAUAUCAUGUUAUUUUAUUUUAAUUUAUUUUAAAUUUGUUUUUAUUGUUUAUCGUAAGUGAAUACGUAAGGUAUUUUAUUCAUGCUAACUUUAUAUCAGAGUUUGCUAACUCAUUUAUAUAACUUUUGAGUAUCUUGGAGAUUCAUUCAUAUUAACUAGUGUGCUAAGGCGCCUAACAUGUUUUAAGAUUAUACCCCUCACGGUCCCUUUCUAUAAUCUUUUAUAUUUUGGGAUAGUCACAACUUGGUUGAGCAAUUUAUAGCUUCUUUAACAUUUCGUAGCUUUAUUCUUGUAUACGUAAGUGUUAAAUACUCUUGUUUUUCUAUUAUAGCCAAAACAGUCUCUUUAUUGACCAAGUGUGUCUAGUUACCUUCUCUGUUGCACUAACAGUUCCCUAGCACUGCCUAUUUUGGCUUAACAGCCCCCCAAUAGCUUACCAUGCUAACAACCAAGCUUGGCUUGGCCCCGUGAGGCUUGGCUAAGCUUAGCGUGGCCUCGUGUGGCCUCGCAGCCCCAAGCCCAGCCCAUCAACUCCAACAGCCCCUUAAUAGGCUCUAGUGGAUCACAAAUAGGCUCGUUAAUAAUAUAAAUGUUCGCAACUACCCGACCAAUAAAAAAAUUUCGCUAGAGUCUCCCCUAUAAUAUGGACUAGCCACAUGCACGACGGCAUGUAUAUAAGGUUAUUUCUAGGCACCCAAGACACAAACCAAGAGUCCAUAUAGACGAUCUUACAUAAGUAUAAGUAAUGUGAAGAAAAGCCUAACUAUUACCCAUAGACGAUCUUGCAUAAGUAUAGUUCUCAUAUAGGCAUAGGUACAAGUUUAGCAGUCUUAUUUUACAAUCACAGGUACAAGUUUAUCAUAUUGCUCGGGAAAAUACCCAAACAAUGUAAUCCAGGAUGAAUAAUAACACAUAAACAAGUCUCUGUAGAAACUUGGCAAUUCCUAUGAAAAAACAGGUUAUCAAACUAGUGGCGGACUAAGGAAAUGAUACCCAAACAAUGGUUGAAAAUAGAUGAUAUCUCCACUUUAAAAGAUCCGGAAUCCACUAAAAAUGAUUUUAGACUGGUGAACUAAAACCUUUAAAUAUAUUAAUUUAUAUACACACUAAUAUAUUAAUUUGUAUAUGGAACACUAAUUUGAACAUGGACCAGUUUGCCAGAUUAUUGAGUAUACUUUUCAAAGUUCAGUUGUUAGUAUUCUGCAUUACAUACCUUUUAUAACUUUCUAGUUAUGGCAUCUCAUUUGUAUACCACCAAAUAGUUCAGAUUUUCAUUACAACCUCGAGCUUUAACUUUUGAUAACUUAAUAAAAUAAUACACACAAUAUACAUGGUUUCCACUAUAUGUCUACAUACAUCGAACCUAUUAAACUCUAACAAAAGUUAACGGAAGUGGAGUUUUGUGCAUUACAAACACUUUAAAUUCUAGUUAAUGUUUUUAAUAGCAAAAUUUGGUAGAUAUUAAAUACCCAUCCUAUGGAAUAUCAAAAUUGUUCAAUGAGCUGGACAAACAUGAAAAUACUCCAAGGACCCUAAAAGCAAUCAAAAAUCAGGAAAUCCAAAAUAAUUUCGGCGAACAUUUUAUCCGGGUAGGGUUGAAUUAUUGUAAGUGAUUCAUUAAAAAGUUUGGAUCUUCAGGAAUAGUGCAAACUAACUAAUUGCAACAAUUUUAAGUUGAUUAGAAAAUAAUACAUUGACAAACUUGAAAAGUCUAAAAUAAAUAACUCACCAGUCGUGCGUGGCGGCAGUGGCGGCGGCGAUGGCAGUGGGGAGUAGUGGCGAGCGAGACUCCUAUUCCCCAUUUCUCCCUCUUCUCCCCCUUUCUCCCUCUUCUCUCUGAGCUCCCUCUUUUUUUUUCCUCCCGUCUGCUGUGUCGUGCGAAUACCUGGAACUGAUUACAUUUAGUUUGAUCAGCGACCGACAUCUGCGACCGCAUGCGGUCGUUAUGUUUUAAUGACUUGGACUUAUCAACGACCGCAUGCGGUCGCUGAUUUUAAGUGGUCGCAUAAAACCUUGGCGCCAACAUUUCCUGCCAAAAUUUGGGAGGAAAAAUUAUGAUAGCGACCGAUCAACGACCCAAUGCGGUCGCUGAUAUAUAAUAACAACUGGAUUAAAUCACGGUCGCAGAUAUCGGUCGCUGAUAGUAGUGAUCGCUGAUAGACCUUUUUCUUAUAGUGAGCACCCCAAGGAGAUGUACUAGGACGAAUGAAACCGAUGUCUAACAACUCCUGUAGUUGGACUUUUAACUCCUGAAGUUCAAUAGGAGCCAUUCGAUAUAGGGUUUUAGAAAUGGGCUUUGUACCCGGUUCAAGGUCAAUAAAGAAUUCAACUUCACGUUCUGGGGGUAGACCAGGAAGUUCUUCAGGAAAUACGUCAGGAAAUUCACUAACAACGGAAAUAUUAUUUAAAUAUGACGUUUUUUUGUUCAAGUCCAUAACAUGGGCUAAGAAAGGUUGACAUCCAUUUUUUAAUAAACGAGUGGCUUUAUGGCUUAAUAUGACAAUGAUUGACUUUAGUGGUUUGGUUGCUUGAAUUCGCAUAAUAGGUUGGUUAUGAAUAUGAAAACUAACAACCAUACGAAAAUAAUCAAUUUUGGCAUGAUGAGUAGUUAACCAAUCAAUCCCUAAAAUCACAUCAAAUUCAAGUAUCUUUAAAGAAAUAAGAUCAACAGGUAAUGUGAUGGUGCCAACUUGGAUCAAGCAAGAUUUAUAAACAGUGGAUGUAAUGAAAGUUUCUCCCAAUGGAGUCUCCACAGAUAAGUCAAAGUCUAAUUUCUCUAAAGUCAAGUUUAAACGUUGAGCACAAGCAGGAGAGAUAAAAGAAUAGGUAGAACCAGUAUCUAGUAAGGUAUAAACUUCGCAAGAGUUCAAGACUAGCUUACCGUGAUCACCUCGUUCGGGUUUCUCGCAUUUUGUCCAGUCACGACAAAUGCCCUCCCUUGAACCACCGACUUUGUUUUGUCCAUAGUCGCCUUUGGUGUCGCCGCCCCAGCUGGACUUGACUUCACUACCGGAUAAAACCGGGCUAUAUGACCAUCUUUUCCGCAACUAAAACACACCUUGGAAGGCUGUGAACAGUUUGGACUUAUGUGUCCCUCCUCUCCGCAUCUGUAGCAUCUAACUAGCGGUCGUUCUCCUGUCCUAGAAUUUGUUGUUAGUGUUGGUGCUGGUGCUGCUGCUGAUGUCUUCCCGUCAUUGUUGAAUCUUCUCUUUGUGAAAUUUCCACUUGACUCACCUCUCCUAUUAUUAUGGCCACGAUUACCACCAGAGUGGUAACUACUUUUGUCCAUAUUUCUUCCUCCCCGCUAGUUAUCAUUGCUCCGAUGAUUGUUGUCACCGGUAUGACCCUGGUUGUGGUCCCUCGGUUGAACAUACUCAUUAUCUCGCUCUAAUAAUUGAAUCAUGUUGAUAACAUCUGAAUAUAGAGAAAAUUUGUGAGACAUAAGGUAUUGAUGAAUUUUGGGUUUUAGACCUCUCAAAAACAUUUGCGUCAUACGUUCCUCAUUCUCUACCAAAUGAGGUGCAAACCUGGAUAACUCCGUGAACUUUGCCUCGUACUGGGACACCGUCAUGUUGUUCUGUUCUAGUCUAAUAAAUUUUACCUCCUUCAUAUGACGAAUACUUUCAGGAAAGUACGUGUCAUUGAACAGUUUCUGAAAUCUUUCCCAAGACAUGUUGAGUGCGACUGGCUGGAUACGCUUCACAGAUUCCCAAAUCUGCCUCAUUUUUUUCCUCCUUCUACGCACGCCAGCCAAGACCAGCCCUCCACCUUUGAAAAAAAAAAUCCAGCACAUGUUUUCAAAAAAAAACAAAAGUGGGUCCCACCCAUAAUUUUAAUAAAAAUAUUUAAUUUCCGAAACUUCAAUAAUUCUUAAUAAAUAGCCCUUUUAUCAGAAAAAUACGACUUUUAUAUCCAUUUCAUAGGAAAUUAAACUCUCUACAACUUUGUAGCUUUAUGUUUUUCCAAAUUCCAAACGAAAAAUGCCCGAAAUCCACAUACGGACAAUUUUUAAUACCUCCAUUCCGACAAAAUACUGAUAAAAUACCUUAGCAUUAAUUUCUUCAUUUAUAUCCACAUAAAAUAAAUAUAUCUUUCAUUUAUAUCCACAUAAAAUAAAUAUAUCUCUAUCAUAUAAAUCAAUAAUUAAUUAUUCACAAAUAAUAUUACAAAUCACAAUUAUGACAACCAAGUUGUUCCUAGGAAAGAGGGGGCUUUCCGAUAAGGAUUUCUCCUUACUUGCGCUCAAUUAGGUGAUCAAACCCCUUUCCUAGACAGAACUUCCUUAGACAUUGCCAAUAAUGCUAUCUAAUAAUAUUAUUCAAAUAAUAUGACUUAUUGAUCUGAUAAUGGAAAAUACUGUGCAGUGACAAUUAUUGAAACAACAAUAAUAUAAAAUAUCAACGCAGCAAUUAUUGAAUUAAUAAAAUAAAAUAUUGAACAAUAAUUACUAUAAAAAUUAUUUAGUAGUGCCUUCUUACGUAAGAAUCAAUAAUUCAAAAAUAAUGUGCAAUACUGUGUGCUACUGUGCAACCACGUGUAUUACUGUAUUUUAACCACUAGGUAAUCCAACAAUGUUAAUGGUAACAAUUACGCCGUUAAUUUAUAAAAACUUAAACUUGUCAUUUUCUUCAUCCGACGAUUUUUCGUUAUGGGGCCCAUAAAUGUCUGCGCCGUCGUACGAAUAUUCCCCGACGGCAAGAAUAUUCCAUGACCAAACGAAUAUUCUCCGACAAAAUGAAUAUUUUAUAACCACUUGCUUAAUUUGUAAAAUUUGGAUAUUUCACCCAUAACCAAAGCAUUAUAUGAAAUUAACUCCUUAUUAUUUCAAGAUAAUGAAUAGAGAAAAUUCAAUUUUAUUUAUAAUAAGUUGGGGUCUUACAUUUUAUAUGUGGGUUGGUAGGUCAUCAGGCGAAAGGUUGUCCAGAAUCAAGGGAGGGUGUAGUAAACAAGUAGAAUGGAUAAUUUUAUGAACAUGUAUGAUAUGUAUGUGAUAUGUAUAUGUGUAACUCAACUUUUGUAUAAGUUUUAGUAGAGAUUCCCGAAUUUUGUAGUCACAAAGGGAUAGUAGAUGUUUAUAAAAAUAUGUGCUAUAUAAUGUAAAGUACUAUGAACUAGUUGAAUGAAUAUGAAUAUAUGUUUGAUUAAUUAAACAAGUUUUGAGAAUUAAGAUAGUAAAUGUCUAUCUUAUAAACUGAAUUUUUAAUAUCCAACAUUUUGAUUAUAUGAUUGUUUAAGUUUGAAAUUACGUAUUUCGAUGUUAACACUUAUACGAUGAGGCAUAAAAUGUAAAAACAUAAAGAAUAAAUUAAGGUUUUGUUUAACCAGAUAAUGCCACCAAGAAGAUGAAACUGAAACCCAAGAGUAGAAGAACAUGUUAAUGACGGAGAAGGUCAAGCAGACCCAAUGCAGAAUCUUGCUAAUAUGUUCGCACAAGCCAUGCAUACUAGAGCACCAGCAGUAAGAAAUCAGAUAAAAAAAUCGAUUAAAGAACUUCAAAGAUUUCAAGGCAGUAGGACUGCCAAAAUUUAAAUGGACAACUGACCCUAUAGAAGCCCAAACUUGGGUAAAGGAGAUGGAGAAAGCAUUUGUUAUUUCUAGGGUAAUAGAGGAGCAAAAGAUAACUUUUGCUACCUAUAUGAUGAAGGGGGGGCGAAUUUCUGGUGGGAGGCAAAUCAAACUAGAGCUGAAGAAGGAGAGGUGACAUGGAACAGGUUCAAGGAACUUUUAUUUGAGAAGUAUUUCUCGUCCAGUAUGCAGGCCAUGAUGGAGGUUAGGUUUUUAGAAUUGAAGCAUGAGAAUAUGUUUGUGUUAGAAUACGCAGCUAAGUUUAAUGAGUUAGCAAGAUUCGCUCCGAACCAAAUGGAUACGGAGGCAAGGAAGGCAAGAAGGUUUGAGCAGGGCCUAAAACCCUAUAUAAGACCCCAAACUUAUUAUAAAUGAAAUUGAAUUUCCUCUAUUUAUUAUUUUGAAAUAGUAAGGGUUGAUUUGAUUAAUGUGGUUAAUUAUGGGUAAAAUGCGUAAAUAUUUCAAAUAAGCAAGUGGUUAUAAAAUAUUCAUUGUUGUCGGGAAAUAUUCGUCUGGUCGUGGAAUAUUCUUGUUGUCGGGGAAUAUUCGUUCGACGGCGCAGCCUUGUGUGGGCCCCAUAACGGAAAGCGAUUGGAUGAAGAAAACGACAAGUAUAAGUUAUUUAUAAAUAAUGGCGUAGUUGUUACCGUUAAUACUGUUGGAAUACUCGGUGGUUAAAAUACAGUAGCACACGGUAUUGCACCAAUUAUUGAUUCUUACGUAAGAAGGCACUACUCAAUAAUUAUUACAGUAAUUAUUGUUCAAUAUUUUAUUUUAUUGAUUCAAUAAUUGCUACGUUGAUAUUUUAUAUUAUUGUUGUUUCAAUAAUUAUCACUACACGGUAUUUUCCAUUAUCAGAUCAAUAAUUCAUAUUAUUUGAAUAAUAUUAUUAGAUAGCAUUAUUGGCAAUGUUUAAAAAGUUCUGUCUAAGGAGAGGUUUGGUCACCUAAUUGCACGCUAGUAAGGAGAAAUCCUUAUUGGAAAGCCCCCUCUUUCCUGGGAACGGCCUGGUUAUCGAUAUUUUGAUUCUGUAAUAUUAUUUGUGAAUAAUUAAUUAUUGAUUUAUAUGAUAAGGAAAAUAUUCAUUUUAUGUGGAUAUAGAUGGAGAAAAUUUUUAAUGUGACAAUUGUUAAAAAUUGAUAUUUUAUCUUUUCUGAUAAAAUAAUUCAUUUAAAUAUAUUAUUAUAUUAUAAUAAUAUAAUAAUGGUGAUAUUUUNNNNNNNNNNNNNNNNNNNNNNNNNNNNNNNNNNNNNNNNNNNNNNNNNNNNNNNNNNNNNNNNNNNNNNNNNNNNNNNNNNNNNNNNNNNNNNNNNNNNUUUUGUUACAAAAAUUGUUUAAAAUAUGUUAAACAUGUUUGUGGGCUCAUUUCUUGACUGAAAUUUGAUUAUAGCCUGUAAAUCGUCCGUUUGUGGAUUUCAGUCAACUUCUGCUUGGAAUUUGGAAAAACUUAAAAUUACAAAGUUGUAAAGAAUUGAAUUUUCUAUAGAAUGGACAUAAGAUUUGAAUUUUUCUGAUAAAAGGGCUAUUUAUUAUGAAUUAUUGAAGUUCCGGAAUAAUUGAUUUUUGAAGUUUUAAAUAUUUUUUUAAUAAAAACAUUUUUUCCAUUUGGUGGGCCCCACUUGCACAUGUUAAUGGCUGAAAUCAGAUGUCUUUGGUGUGCGUAGGAAUUUAUGAUAAAUAUAUUAAUAUUUUAUUAAUUUUCUACUUUGGUGUUCUAAGCAAUUUCCUAUAAAUAGGGUGCUUAGGUUAGAAUUGAAAAUCACACCAGAAAUAAGUUUUCUCUCUCUUUCUCUCUCUAUAUUAUCGAGCGUAUUCUUGUGAGUAUUUUGAUACUUUGAGUGUUGCUAUACGGUGCAAGUUUCCUUCAGCACAAUAUCUAGUAUUCCAAUCAGAAGCACUCUCUUUUCGAGGUAAGGGAUAUUAUUUUUAAAAAAAAAUGAUAUUAUUUCUUUCAAUAUUAUUAUGCCAGAAUAUUGGUAAGAUUUUUCUUGUGAAAUUCUUGUCUUUUAGUGUCGGCGUUACUAUUCACGUAUACGGCACUAUUCACGUAUACGACACUAUUCACGAAUACGGCACUAUUUAUAGAAAAAUUAAAUUUUCAUUUUUUUGUCCAAGAUAUCUAUUAUGGAUACUAGCUUUGAUUGUAUCCAUGUUUUGAGCAUUCUUGAAUUUUACUCCACUAUGAUUAUUUAUGAAGUAUUUUUGAACUUGGAUUGUUUAAAGUACGAAUCCUUAAUAUUUGUUCUUUUGUUUCACUGGAUUCGUUUUCUUUAAAAUAUUUUUCAUCAUCNNNNNNNNNNNNNNNNNNNNNNNNNNNNNNNNNNNNNNNNNNNNNNNNNNNNNNNNNNNNNNNNNNNNNNNNNNNNNNNNNNNNNNNNNNNNNNNNNNNNNNNNNNNNNNNNNNNNNNNNNNNNNNNNNNNNNNNNNNNNNNNNNNNNNNNNNNNNNNNNNNNNNNNNNNNNNNNNNNNNNNNNNNNNNNNNNNNNNNNNNNNNNNNNNNNNNNNNNNNNNNNNNNNNNNNNNNNNNNNNNNNNNNNNNNNNNNNNNNNNNNNUAGUUAUUUCUGUACCAUGUAUUUGGCGACUCAGAGUGGGUGUUGUAUACCUAUUUUGGGGGCAUCACAGUUGGUAUCAGAGCUUAGGGAUAUGAUCUCUGGCAGAGAUCGGGGAAUAGAACUAGGAGGGGAGAGAUGAGUAAAUCCUUCACUAGUGUGUCCUACCUAAGCUUAUUUGUUGGUUAGUCAGUAUAUAGGAUAUUAUGUGAUAUGUUGAUUUCUUUAAUUAACCCUUGUUUUAUGGCAGUAUUUGAGAAUGGCGACUGAGAAUGUUAACAGUGGAGUAAAUGAGACCGUGGAGACACCUUUAGUCACUAAUGAGGAGAACGUGCAGCAGGCCGGUAAUGUUCCUCCUGUAAACAACACCACUGAGCAGACGAUGAACGACAGGAUGUUUAGAAGCUUUUUGCAGUUCAUACAAAAUCAGACGAGGGAGACUCGUGUACAAAAUACAGGUGGAAAUGAUAACAACACACGAUUUGUCACAGCCAAGCAGUUCAAAGAGUUGGGACCACCAGAAUUCUGGGGAAAGUCGGAUCCGAUUAAGGCAGAAACGUGGGUCAAGCAAAUUACCAAGAUAUUCAAUGUCUUGGGAUGCACGGAGGAACAGAAGGUUUCAUUCGCCACCUUUAUGUUUCGUAAUGAGGCAGAUUACUGGUGGGAAUCUGUGAAGCGUAUCCAUCCGGCCGCACUCAGCAUGUCUUGGGAGACGUUUCAGAAACUAUUCAAUGACAAGUACUUUCCUGAAAGUAUUCUUCAUAUGAAGGAAGUGAAGUUUAUUAGACUGGAACAAAAUAACAGGACGGUGUCCCAGUACGAAGCGAAGUUUGCAGAGUUAUCCAGGUUUGCACCUCAUUUGGUGGAGAAUGAGGAACGUAUGACGCAGAUUUUUUUGAGAGGUUUGAAACCCGGCAUACGUCAAUAUCUCAUUUCUCAUAAAUUUUCUCUCUAUUCAGAUGUUGUCAACAGGGCUCAAUUAUUAGAGCAAGAUAACGAGUACGUUCAACCUAGGGACCACAAUAAGGAUCAUACCGGUGACAGCAGUCCUCAGAACAACGAUAACUAGCGGAGAAAGAAAAAUACGGACAAAAGAGGUAAUCACUCUGGUGGUAAUCAUGGCCAUAAAAAUAGAAGAAGCGAGUCGGGGGGAGAUUUUAAAAAGAGGAGAUUCAACAAUGACAAUGCAAAGACGUCAGCACCAGCAGCAACUGGUUCUAAGGGAGGAGAACGACCACCGGUCGUAUGCUAUAAAUGUGGAAAACAGGAACAUAUCAGCCCAAACUGCCCAUAACAGUUCAAGGUAUGUUAUAAUUGUGGAAAGGAAUGACAUAUCGCUCGAGAUUGUACUGUAGCAAAACCAAGUCCAGCGGGGAAGGUGACUCAAAAGGCUGUCCCAGAAAAGUCAAAUCAACGGUUCCUGGAAGAGCGUUUGUCGUGACUGGUCAAAAUGCGAGGAACCCAAACGAGGUGAUCACGGGUAAGCUAAUCAUAAAUUCUUGCGAAGUUUAUACCUUACUAGAUACCGGUGAUACCCAUUCAUUUAUCUCUCCUGCUUGUGCUCAACGUUUAAACUUAACUCCGGAGAAAUUAGACUUUGACUUAUCUGUGGAGACUCCGUUAGGAGAGACUUUCAUUACAUCCACUGUUUAUAAAUCUUGUUUGAUCCAAGUCGACACCAUCACAUUACCUGUUGAUCUUAUCUCUUUAAAGAUACUUGCUUUUGAUGUGAUUUUAGGGAUUGAUUGGUUAACUACUCAUCAUGCCAAAAUUAAUUGUUUUCAUAAGGUUGUUAGUUUUCAUAUUCUUAACCAACCUGUUGUACGAAUUCAAGCAACUAAACCACUAAAAUUAAUCACUGUCAUAUCAAGUCAUAAAGCUAUUCGUUUAUUGAAAAACGGAUGUCAAGCUUUCUUAGCCCAUGUUAUGGAUUUGAAUAAAGACACGCCAGAUUUGAAUAAUAUUCCUAUUGUUAGUAAAUUUCCUGGCGUAUUUCCUGAAGAACUUCCCAGUCUACCCCCAAAACGUGAAGUUGAAUUCUUUAUUGAUCUUGAACCUGGUACAAAGCCCAUUUCUAAAACCCCAUAUCGAAUGGCUCCUAUUGAACUUCGGGAGUUAAAGGUCCAACUACAGGAGUUGUUGGACUUCGGUUUCAUUCGUCCUAGUACAUCUCCUUGGGGUGCUCCUGUUUUAUUUGUAAAGAAGAAAGACAGAAGUAUGCAACUUUGUAUUGACUAUGGAGAAUUGGACCAUGUCACCAUCAAGAAUAGGUAUCCGCUACCUCGCAUUGAUGACCUGUUUAACCAGUUGCAAGGAGCACAAUUCUUUUCAAAGAUCGAUCUUCGUUCUGGAUAUCAUCAGCUGAAGAUUAGAACUGACGAUAUUCCAAAGACUGCCUUCAGAACUCGGUACUGGCAUUAUGAAUUCUUGGUCAUGUCUUUUGGAUUGACUAAUGCUCCUACGGCUUUUAUGGAUAUGAUGAACAGAGUAUUCAAGGAAUAUUUGGAUCAAUUUGUUGUGGUCUUUAUUGAUGAUAUCCUUAUAUAUUCCAAAAACUGUGCAGAUCAUGAGCACCAUUUGAAGCUGGUACUCCAAAGGCUUCGUGAAAACAAGUUGUAUGCCAAGUUGAAGAAAUAUGAGUUCUGGCUUGAGGAAGUAGCAUUCCUUGGGCACGUGGUGUCAAAACAUGGAGUAUCUGUCGACCUGGCGAAGAUUGAAGCAAUACAAAGUUGGGAGCAACCGAAGACAGUGACCAAAGUGCGUAGCUUUCUGGGUUUAGCUGGUUAUUAUCGGAGAUUCGUGGAAGGGUUUUCUCGAAUUUCUACUCCGUUAACUCAAUUGACUCAGAAGGAUACAAACUUCGUAUGGAGCGAGGAAUGCGAGAAGAGUUUUUAAGAGCUCAAGAGGAGACUCAUUUCGGCACCUGUUCUGACAAUACCAUCUGGAUCGGCUGGAUUUGUUAUUUACAGCGAUGCUUCAGGCAAAGGGUUAGGAUGUGUUCUCAUGCAGCAUGGGAAAGUCAUAGCCUAUGCCUCACGAGAACUUAAAGAAUAUGAGAGGAAUUAUCCUACUCAUGAUCUAGAGUUGGCAGCAGUCUUUUUCGCACUAAAGAUCUGGAGGCACUAUUUAUAUGGAGAGAAAGUGGAGAUAUAUUCAGACCAUAAAAGCCUCAAAUAUUUCUUCACCCAAAAGGAACUCAACAUGCGGCAACGACGUUGGCUCGAGCUGUUGAAAGAUUACGACCACACUAUUCAAUACCAUCCUGGAAAAGUGAACAUAGUAGCUGACGCGUUGAGUAGAAGAUCAUAUGCGGGAACGAGUGCGAUGUUAUUAACACAAAGGCCUAUUUUGUGUGAUUUACAAAAUAUGAAGAUAAAAUUCAAGACUCCGGGGACCCAUGCAAUGAUGUCAAGUAUACGUAUAGAACCAACUUUAAUCGAUAAAGUUAAAGUUGAUCAAGCCACAGACCCGGAGUUGAUGCGUAUGAAAAAGAAAGUGCAAGAAGGUGCUAUUCAAGAAGCAAGAAUCGAUGAAGAAGGAAUACUUCGAGUCCACUCCAGACUUUGUGUUCCUAACGAUUCUGAUUUGAAGAACAAGAUCAUGAUGGAGGCACACAAUACACUGUUUGCAAUCCAUCCUGGAAGUACCAAAAUGUUUCAUGAUCUUCGACAUACAUUUUGGUGGAACAAUAUGAAGAGAGAGAUCGCGAAGUUUAUCUCGAGGUGUUUAACUUGUCAACGUGUAAAGGCGAAGCAUCAAGUGCCAAAGGGUCCAUUGCAACCACUUGAGAUUCCGAAAUGGAAGUGGGAACACAUUUCCAUGGAUUUCGUUAUGGGUCUUCCCACGGUUUCUCGAGGCAUAAAAGUUAUUUGGGUUAUUGUUGAUAGAUUAACCAAGUCUGCUCAUUUCUUGCCGAUACGGGAGACUUAUUCCCUUGAACGUCUUUCUCAUAUGUAUGUAAAUGAGAUUGUGAGAUUGCAUGGCAUGCCAGUAUCCAUAGUUUCGGAUCGUGACCCAAGAUUCACUUCACAAUUUUGGGUUAGCUUGUAAAAAUCUAUGGGCACGGAUUUGUGAUUCAGUUCGGCAUACCAUCCUCAAACGGACGGAUAAUCAGAGAGGACUAUUUAAACUCUUGAAGAUCUAUUAAGACUCUGUGUCCUAGACUUCAAAGGGAGUUGGGAUAAGUAUUUACCAUUGGUGGAAUUCUCCUACAACAACAGUUAUCAGGCAAGUAUAGGUGUGGCCCCAUUUGAAGCAUUGUAUGGACGAAAGGGUCGCUCUCCAGUAUGUUGGGAUGAAGUGGGUGAAGCAACAUUGUUCGAACCAGAGUUGGUACGUAUGACUACAGAAAAGAUCUAAAUGAUUCGACAACGUAUACAAACGGCACAGGAUCGACAAAAGAGUUAUGCGGAUCUUCAUCGAAAGGACGUGAAAUUUAGUAUUGGGGAUCAUGUAUUGUUGCGUGUUGCUCCAUGGAAGGGAGUUACAAGAUUUGGGAAGAGAGGAAAGCUCAAUCUACGAUUUAUUGAUCCAUUUUAGAUUCUUGACCGAGUAGAAAAUGUGGCCUAUAGACUCGCGUUACCUCCAAGUAUGUCUCGUGUUUAUAAUGUUUUUCACAUAUCUGUGCUUCGUAAAUAUUUGAAAGACCCGAACCACGUUAUUGAGUUAGAACCAGACGAGAUAGCCGAAGACUUAACGUACGAAGAGGUACCUGUCAAGAUCUUGGAUAGGAAGGAGCAUGUCCUACGCACAAAGGUCAUACCACAAGUCAAAGUUUUGUGGAGGAACCAUGCUAUUGAGGAAAUGACCUGGGAGUUGGAAACGGAAAUGAAAGCGAGGUAUCCUCACCUUUUCGAAACACCAGGUACGUACGUCAAUUUCGAGGACGAAAUUUCAUAAGGAGGGGAGGUUGUAAGACCCCAACUUAUUAUAAAUGAAAUUGAAUUUCCUCUAUUUAUUAUUUUGAAAUAGUAAGGGUUGAUUUGAUUAAUGUGGUUAGUUAUGGGUAAAAUGCGUAAAUAUUUCAAAUAAACAAGUGGUUAUAAAAUAUUCAUUGUUGUCGGGGAAUAUUCUUGCUGUUGGGGAAUAUUCGUACGACGGCACAGCCUUGUGUGGGUCCCAUAGCGGAAAGCGAUUGGAUAAAGAAAACGACAAGUAUAAGUUGUUUAUAAAUAACGGCGUAGUUUUUACCGUUAAUACUGUUGGAAUACCUAGUGGUUAAAACACAGUAGCACAUGAUAUUAUACCAAUUAUUGAUUCUUACGUAAGAAGGCACUACUCAAUAAUUGUUACAGUAAUUACUGUUCAAUAUUUUAUUUUAUUGAUUCAAUAAUUGCUACAUUGAUAUUUUAUAUUAUUAUUAUUUCAAUAAUUAUCACUACACGGUAUUUUCCAUUAUCAGAUCAAUAAUGCAUAUUAUUUGAAUAAUAUUAUUAGAUAGCAUUAUUGGCAAUGUCUAGAAAGUUCUGUCUAAGGAGAGGUUUGGUCACCUAAUUGCGCGNNNNNNNNNNNNNNNNNNNNNNNNNNNNNNNNNNNNNNNNNNNNNNNNNNNNNNNNNNNNNNNNNNNNNNNNNNNNNNNNNNNNNNNNNNNNNNNNNNNNNNNNNNNNNNNNNNNNNNNNNNNNNNNNNNNNNNNNNNNNNNNNNNNNNNNNNNNNNNNNNNNNNNNNNNNNNNNNNNNNNNNNNNNNNNNNNNNNNNNNNNNNNNNNNNNNNNNNNNNNNNNNNNNNNNNNNNNNNNNNNNNNNNNNNNNNNNNNNNNNNNNNNNNNNNNNNNNNNNNNNNNNNNNNNNNNNNNNNNNNNNNNNNNNNNNNNNNNNNNNNNNNNNNNNNNNNNNNNNNNNNNNNNNNNNNNNNNNNNNNNNNNNNNNNNNNNNNNNNNNNNNNNNNNNNNNNNNNNNNNNNNNNNNNNNNNNNNNNNNNNNNNNNNNNNNNNNNNNNNNNNNNNNNNNNNNNNNNNNNNNNNNNNNNNNNNNNNNNNNNNNNNNNNNNNNNNNNNNNNNNNNNNNNNNNNNNNNNNNNNNNNNNNNNNNNNNNNNNNNNNNNNNNNNNNNNNNNNNNNNNNNNNNNNNNNNNNNNNNNNUUGUGGUAUAACAUGAGAUGUUAUAUUAUUGUUUUGAUUUAAUAAUUUAGAUGGCAUAUUAAAUUAUUAAAUAAGUUAUUACAGAAAUUAUAAUUUUGUGAUAUUUGCAAAAAGGCUAUAUUUAAUUAAAAUAUAGUAUGUGGUUAAUUUAAUGGGUUAAUGUUGGAUAUGAAAAUAAUAUGUGAUUAUAAUUUAUAAACUAAGGUGUUUAUUAAAAUAAAUUAAAAAUGAUUUAAAUUGGUUUUUGUCAAACAAGGCUUAAGUAUUUUAAUUCUUUAAAAUUUAUAUGGGUUGCCAAACAAGCCUUAUGGCUUUUGAUAUUUCUAAUUUUUGAAAUUUAAAUUUAAUAAUAUAAAUAAAAUAAAAUAAUUAAUAUAAUAUAUACGUUAUUGGUUGUAACUGAUGAGGCUUGUUAUGGCCAUAUCAGUUUUAUAUCUUUGUUAUUACACACACUAAUUGGAUAUUAGUCUAGCUUUUGUUUUCACGCAUUCUAUUUUCUAAGCUUGAGAGUUCAGAGAAUUGAGAGUUAAGAGAAAUUGAGAGAAAGCUUAGGAUUUUCAAGCGAUUCCAGUGGGUUAGCAAGAGUUACACGCUAAUUGAAAGGUAUGUUCAUAACUGUUAUAAUGUAUAUGUGUAUAAGUAUUUCACGGUAAGAAUUUUCUUGUAUUCUGUAAAAUCAAUUGUUGAAUUAUGGACAUAUAUAGUUGAUAAUUGUGAUAAUACAUGUUUGUAAUGCUGGAGUAAUGUUCAAACAAGGAAAUUGCAUGCUAAAUUGUUCGACAGUAGGAAAAAUAUGAUGUCAGUGUUUAUGUNNNNNNNNNNNNNNNNNNNNNNNNNNNNNNNNNNNNNNNNNNNNNNNNNNNNNNNNNNNNNNNNNNNNNNNNNNNNNNNNNNNNNNNNNNNNNNNNNNNNAUGGAAUGGACAUAAGAUUCGAAUUUUUCUGAUAAAAUGGCUAUUUAUUAUGAAUUAUUGAAGUUCCGGAAUAAUUGAUUUUUGAAGUUUUAAAUAUUUUUUUUAAUAAAAAUGUUUUUUCCAUUUGGUGGGCCCCACUUGCACAUGUUAAUGGCUGAAAUAAGAUGUCUUUGGUGUGCGUAGAAAUUUAUAAUAAAUAUAUUAAUAUUUUAUUAAAUUUUCUGCUUUGGUGUUCUAAGCAAUUUCCUAUAAAUAGGGUGCUUAGGUUAGAAUUAAAAAUCACACCAGAAACAAGUUUUCUCUCUCUUUCUCUCUCUAUAUUAUCGAACGUAUUCUUGUGAGUAUUUUGAUACUUUGAGUGUUGCUGUACGGUGCAAGUUCCUUUCAGCACUAUAUCCAGUAUUCCAGUCAGAAGUACUGUCUUUUCGAGGUAAGAGAUAUUAUUAUUUUUUUAAAAUGAUAUUAUUUCUUUCAAUAUCAUUAUGCCGGAAUAUUGGUGUAACGAUCCAAAAUUUUAAAGUGUAAUUUUAAAUAUUUAUUUAAAUAUAUAAAUAUUUAUUUGAGGUGUUUAUUGUUAAAUAAAUAAUUAUUGAUGUGAUGGUCGUUAAUAAAUAUUUGUAAAUCUAAAUUUAUUAGAUAAAUUUCUAAUUAAAUUAAUUUAUAAUUUAGAGAAUUGUGGUAUAACAUGAGAUGUUAUAUUAUUGUUUUGAUUUAAUAAUUUAGAUGGCAUAUUAAAUUAUUAAAUAAGUUAUUACAGAAAUUAUAAUUUUGUGAUAUUUGCAAAAAGGCUAUAUUUAAUUAAAAUAUAGUAUGUGGUUAAUUUAAUGGGUUAAUGUUGGAUAUGAAAAUAAUAUGUGAUUAUAAUUUAUAAACUAAGGUGUUUAUUAAAAUAAAUUAAAAAUGAUUUAAAUUGGUUUUUGUCAAACAAGGCUUAAGUAUUUUAAUUCUUUAAAAUUUAUAUGGGUUGCCAAACAAGCCUUAUGGCUUUUGAUAUUUCUAAUUUUUGAAAUUUAAAUUUAAUAAUAUAAAUAAAAUAAAAUAAUUAAUAUAAUAUAUAUGUUAUUGGUUGUAACUGAUGAGGCUUGUUAUGGCCAUAUCAGUUUUAUAUCUUUGUUAUUACGCACACUAAUUGGAUAUUAAUCUAGCUUUUGUUUUCACGCAUUCUAUUUUCCAAGCUUGAGAGUUCAGAGAAUUGAGAGUUGAGAGAAAUUGAGAGAAAGCUUAGGAUUUUCAAGCGAUUCCAGUGGGUUAGCAAGAGUUACACGCUAAUUGAAAGGUAUGUUCAUAACUGUGAUAAUGUAUAUGUGUAUAUGUAUUUCACGGCAAGAAUUUUCUUGUAUUCUGUAAAAUCAAUUGUUGAAUUAUGGACAUAUAUAGUUGAUAAUUGUGAUUAUACAUGUUUGUAAUGCUGGAGUAAUGUUCAAACAAGGAAAUUGCAUGCUAAAUUGUUCGACAGUAGGAAAAAUAUGAUGUCAGUGUUUAUGUUCUUCAUAUAGUCUGAGUAAGUAUCAAUUUUAUUGGCCAAUUCGUAUGGGAAAUUAUAAAUUGAAGUUUAUAUAUGUUAGUUCAUUGAGAUACGAACAUAAUGUAAUUUGAAUGAGAUGAUUUGAGCAUGUAAUGAAAUCACAGUGUUAAUUUUUGGAUGAAUAUCAAAAAUAUUGAGUUUUAUAUGAAAAACAUGAAAUUUGAGAAAUUACAGUAGUAUAAUUGCUGUUAAGUUGUUCUAUAUUGAUAUAUAAGUGAGGAAACAAGUUGUAAUGGUGUUGUAUCAUUUGUAUGUGUUAAUUUCACUGUUUGAUGAGUGAAAUUCGUGUUAGUUGGCUUAUGAAAAGUGUCGUGGCUCUGUUCUGCAUAUCUGGGUUCUGCAAGUCGCGCGGGCGCGCAGCCCUUAGGCGCGGGCGCGCAGCUGUCUCGUGGGCGCGCGGCUUCCCAAUAUAAAACUCGCGCGGCCGCGCGAGUGGCCAUUUUCAGACACUGAAGUCUGUUUAUUCUGCAGACUUUGGUGGUUCGUUGUAGCUUAGCUUAAGGUUAUGGAAUGUGAGAAUCAUGUAACAACAAGGUGAAAUAGAGUCAUGUUAUGUGGAUUAUGAAUUCAAAAUUUUAAAAGUGAUUAGUAAAUCGAGAAUGCGUUAUGUGAUAAUGUGGUAUACAUAAUGAACGUUAGACAAGUAUUGCGAAGUAAAACACUUAGAGUUUCUGUAAUGUAAAUGGUAAUGAUCAUGUUAUGGUAUGUUAGCAUAUCUAAUAGGUAUUGUGGUUCUAAAAUUAUGUGUAGGUGAUCGUGAGUUUAAUUUUAUAGCUUACGCUCAAGGCAAGUUUUCUAACUCUACAUUUACGUUGAGCAAGUUUCUAAACCCUAUCUAUUUACAUUGAGCAAGUUUUCUAACUCUACUCUUUCGUUGAGUUAGUUCUAUUAUUACAUUGUGUAACUUUAUUCUUUUGAUUGAGCGAGUUUUGUUAUCUUAUCUGUUAUUGAAUAAGUCAAUUGUUCCUAAAAUUCAUUCGAGCAAACUUUAACUCUAAUGUUAUUUGAAAUUCUCAUUUGAUUGAUUCAUUCUAACUUGUUUAUAGUUAAGCAAGUUUCUUAAGUUCUAUUAUUGUAUAAUGAACGUAGUUUUUGAACUCUCGUCUCUAUUAUUGAACUGUUUUAAUUCUUUGCAUGAGUUAAUACCAUGUUGGGCAAGUUUUUAGUUUCCAGCUUGCUAUCAGUUAAUGUACGUUCAGUAAUUUCAUUUCUAAUGUUAUAAGACUCUAACCUUAGCUUAUUUACUGUUCAAGCAAAGGUUAACCAUUUUAUUCAUUUUGUUGAAUACUUAUGCUCUAUAGUUAUUUCAAGCAUGAGUUUAAUAUGUAUAAUCAGUUCAUUUAUGAUUCUCAAUUGUUCUAUGUUAUGUUGUUAUUAAACAUCUGUUGUGAUUAUCAAACACUAUUGAUUCAACUAGUCCUCUAGUUGAUGUUCGUUAAACUUCAAAUUACCCUUGAAAGCUUAUCCAAACCAAACUUUCUUUGGUGCGGACUUGUACUCUAAAUACUGAGAUGAACAACCCUAUUAUUAUUAGGGGAUAAUUUACGCUUAGCGUUAAAAUGUUUGUGCACAAUACAUUGUACGAAGGGCUGAUCCCCCUAAGUACGAGGAGUCCUUAUAGUCUUAUGACUGUUAAAGUUGGAGUUGAAAGAUUACUCACAACUGUGGACAUAGUUCAUGGUCUUAUGACCCUCAGUUAGAUAUAUUCCAUAUUUUGGAUUCCAGUUUUUGAUUGUCAUCGUUAGAGUACUAUUCAGUUUUGAUGAGCCUUUUGUUGGCAGUUAUUAUUAUUAUUAUUAUUCUCUUGUUGAUUCAGUGUUAUAUCCAGUGGGCAAUUGUUUUGCUCACUCUUGCAUAUUUAUAUACUCAUUGCAGCUAAAGUUGAGAAGGUGGAUGAGCCUUAAACUAACCAAGGAAAGGAAAAAUUGUACAAGUGAUGCUGAUUUGUACUUUUAUUUAUUUUGAUGAUCUUAGACUUUAUUUUGAAUGAUGUUAUGUAAUAAUUUAAUUCCGCAUUUGAAUGACGUUUAAAGGUCAGACAACCUAGGAUGUUUUGAGUUUAAUUAUGUAACCCUAUUUAAAGGGAGGAUUUUAUGGUUUAAAUAUUAUUUUAUUUGGGUAGCUAGUAUGAAUGUUUGAAUAGUGAGCACCAAAUCUUGUGGGAAUGAAGUACCUAGAUUUGGGGGUGUCACAAUUGGUAAGAUUUUUCUUGUGAAAUUAUUUUCUUUUAGUGUCGGGGUUACUAUUCACGUAUACGGCACUAUUCACAGAAAAAUUAAAUUUUUGUUUUUUUGUCCAAGAUAUCUAUUAUGGAUACUAGCUUUGAUUGUAUCCAUGUUUUGAUCAUUCUUGAAUUUUACUCCACUAUGAUUAUUUAUGAAGUAUUUUUGAACUUGGAUUGUUUAAAGUACGAAUCCUUAAUAUUUGUUCUUUUGUUUCACUGGAUUCGUUUUCUUUAAAAUAUUUUUCAUCAUCUUUAGUCUUAAAUGAUGAUAUUACUGAAUAUUUUUGGCCUGUAGUACAAAGAUUGUUGAUUUUCUUAUGAAUAUCUUUGGCCCGUAGUGCAAAGAUGUAUAGGUGUUGAGAUGAACAUGACCAACUGUUAAAUAUCUUUGGCCUGUACUGCAAAGAUGAAUAUUUGAUUCAAGAUGUAUAUUGAUUGAUGUUACAGGGAUAAAAUAUUGAUGAUAAACUUUUAAAUUCAUAGAAGAAAGUAGAUUUCAUUCUCUACGUAACUCUUCUAAUGAAUUAUUAUUUUCGCUGCGAAUAUUGAUUUAAAACUUGUUGUUUAUUGUAUUCUAUCAGAUUUUUCCUAUUGAGGACUAACAAUAAUUUGUUCUAUGUUAUCUUAGUCAUAAUAUUCUUUACUGGGCUAGUUGAGCUCACCCUUUUCCUUUUUGUUUCAUUUUUCUUCUCAGGAGGCGAGAAUGUAGCGAGUACUAGUCGGGGUAUGGAAUGAAGGUUCUAGAAAGUCGUUUUAGUAGUCCUCACUAUUUUGUAAAAUAGUGUAUCAAUAAUUAUAAUGAGGACUUAUUUGAGUGUUGAUAUUGUCUAGAAGACAAUAUUUGUUUUUAAACUCACAGUUUAUGUGUUGUCGUAUUUUGCACGACAAUUGUAUUAAUAAAGUUGUAGUUGUUUUUGUACCAUGUAUUUGGCGACUCAGAGUGGGUGUUGUAUACCUAUUUUGGGGGCGUCACACCCUGGCUCUACAAUAAGGUGGCGGUGUUGCAGAUUAAUCUUUUGGAUCAAUGUUGGAAAAGGCUAUUAUAGCCGAAGGAGGAAGUGAGGCCAUGAGUCUCUACAAUAAGGAAAAGAAGAAUAAGCUUAAAAUCGAGGGAGCUGUCAAGGUUAAGGGAAGUAGUGGAAGUGGAAAAAAGAAGUGGAACAAUUCUGAAAAUACUAAAAAUAGUCAGGGAGGCAUAAGGAAGCAAAUUGAGCAGUGUGGUAAUUGUGGGAAGAAUCAGUCGGGAGAAUAUCUGAAAGAAAAAUUUGCAUGUUUUAAAUGCGGGCAUGAGGGACAAAUCUCUCCAAACUGCCCCAAUCCAAGGAAGAAUAGUGGGUGUUUCAUUUGUGGAUCAACAGAUCAUACAGUGAUGGAUUGUCCGAAAAGAAGUGCUAUUGGGGGGAAUGUUAAUUCCUGAAAUGAUUAGAAAAUUCUUAAGGGUUACGCUUCAUCUAAUAUCAUUUCACUUGAAUAUUUUAUUCACCUGAGCUUUCUUAUUAAAUUUAAAUAUAAUCAUGUUGAGGUACUAUUCAUGUCAGGAUACUAUUCAUAUCAGAGUACUAUUCACGCCAGAGUACUAUUCACAAUAGAGUACUAUUCACGACGGAGUUAGCCUUUUCUGUCCAAAUUAUCUUUGAAAUAGGAAUCUUAAAUAUCAUUCUUGAAUUUGAAUCCACGUUUUGGUCAUCGUGUUGACAAUUUGGACUUUCUUAAACUCUAGAUAAAUUAAAAAUCUCUCAUGUUUAUUCUUGGUCUUAUUAUUUCUAUUCACUUUAUAUCAUUGUCAUCAUCGUCAAACUUAAAUUGUGGUGAAAAGUUAUCUUUGGCCCGUAGUGCAAAGAUGACCUAUUGAUUAGUAUGAUUAUGACCAGAAAUUGUGUAUUGGUAUAAUCAUGACCUUUAAUGUUACAGGCAAAGACUUUUGGUGAAAGUUCUCUUUGGCCCUAGUGCAAAGAUGGAUUGUUGUUGGCAUGAUCAUGACCACGAGUGAUACAAAUGAAUAUCUUUGGCCCGUAGUGCAAAGAUAAACUGUUAAUUUGCAUAAUUAUGAACAUGAGCUGUUAAUUGGUAUUACAGGGAUAAAAUAUUAAUGAUGGAUUUUUAAAUCUAAAAAGAUAAUAGGUAUCAUACUCUACUUGACUCUUCUAAUGGAUUGCUUGUUCCACUGCAGUUGUUGAUCUAAAACUUGUUGUUUAUUAUAUUUUAUCUGCUUUAUCUUUGUUGAAGACUAAAGAUAAUUUAUUCUUCAUUAUCAUAGUCAUGAUAUUCUUUACUGGGCUAGUUGAGCUCACCCUUUUCCUUUUUGUUCCAUUGUUCUUCUCAGAAAAUGAGAGUGUAGCUGGGACUAGUCGGGGAGUGGAGUAAUGUUUCGAGAUAGUUACUAUAGAAGUCUUCACUAUGUUGUAAAAUAGUGUGACAAUAAUUUUAAUGAGGAAUUUAUUUGAGUGUGGAUAUUGUCGUACUAUAUACGAUACAAAUUUGUAUUGAAACUCACAGUAUAUGUGUUGUCGUAUUUUGCAUGACUGUUUAAUAGUUAUAAAUAAGAAAUUUUGUAUUUGAAUUAUGUAGUAUGUAUUUUGACGACUCAAAAUGGGUUGUGUGGACCUAUUUUGGGGGCGUCACACUUAAAGCCUAUUACACUGAAAAUCCUCUGUUCUCAAUACACAACUUUUCUAUACACCAGUGUAGUUCAUCAAAUUUACCACAUGUUAUGAGUUCAGGAACUUGCCACAACAAUAUGAGUUUAGGAACUUGUCCUAUUAAUAUGUAGUCCAAGAACAGAUCAGGGACUGUCCAUACGCUUAAGGGUUUAAAAACAUAUCAUACAAUUAUGAGUCAUAAACUUACCGUAAGCAUGAGUUUUAGGAACUUGCACCUAAUCUUAUAUUCUCUAACUAUCAAAUAUACAUAUGAGAAAAAAAAUCACCUUCUCGCCAUAUGUAUAUCGAUAGCGCAACACCGAAAUUUCAAUGAUUAGCAAUGUGAUAAACUAAGUAGUCAUUAAACCAAGCACAAAACCCCUUCCCAUACAAAGGCUUGAACUUGGCUAUCAUAUGAGUCCUCAAUUGAAAUCCCACUUAAUUCUAAUCUUUUCUUCCUCUUUGCUUAAUACAAACUUUUUCUUUAAUUCGUAUCUCAUCAUUUAUAACUUCUUAUGAGUUUUAUCUUUGUACUACCGUAUAGUACCUUUUUCGUACAGUACAAUUCUUAAUAAUAAUAUUAUUAAUCACUUAAUAAUAAUACUAUACUAUAGUACCGUAUAGUAUCUUCUGUCUCAUAUUACUAAUCACUUAAUAAUAUUUUAUUCACUUUUUAAUAUUAUUAACCAUUUAAUAAUAUUUUAUUCACUUUCUAAUAUUAUUAACCACUUAAUAAUAUCUUAGUCACUUACAAAUAUUAUUAAUCAUUUAAUAAUGUUCUAAUCACACUUUAAUAUUAUUAAUCAUUUAAUAAUAUUCAAAUCAUUUACUAAUAUUAUUAAUUAUUUAAUAAUAUUUUAAUCAUCUUCUAAUAUUAUUAAUCAUUUAAUAAUAUUUUAAUCAUCCACAAAUAUUAUUAAUCCUUUAAUAAUAUUUUAAUUACUUAUUAAUAUUAUUAAUCAUUUAAUAAUAUUUUAUUUAUUUAAUAAUAUUUUAAUUAUUUUCUAAUAUUAUUAAUCAUUUAAUAAUAUUUUAAUCAUUUACUAAUAUUAUUAACCACUUCAUAAUAUUUUAAUCAUUCAUGAAUAUUAUUAAUCUUUUAAUAAUAUUUUAAUCUAAUAUUACUAAUCAUUUAAUAAUAUUUUAAUCUAAUAUUAAUAAUCAUCUAAUAAUAUUUUAAUAAAUUAUUAUUAAAAUUUUAAUCUAACAUUAUUAAUCAUUUAAUAAUAUUUUAAUCAUUUAUUAAACUUAUAAACAAUUUAAUUUAAUUAUUUAUCUUUUACUAAUUAAUUUAUUUAACAAACAUAACAUAUCAUGUUUAUAUCAUUUUAUUAAAAAUGACCAAAUUACCCUCAUAUAUUCUUAAUAUAUCAUAUUAUUGAUCAUUAGUCAAUAAAAUCACAUUAGCACAAUUUAUAACUUAAUUUUUUCAAUUAUCCUUAACUUAAUCAUAGGCACGAAAAAAACCAAAUUAUCUUCUUAUUUUUUUAUCUUAUGGGAAAACUUAAUAUGUUAUAUUUUAGACACAAAAUAAUUUUCUUAUAAUUUUCCAAGCUCAUUUCCUAUUUUUAAAUAGGUUAAAUCAGUCCCAAAUAGCAUUUGUUAAACAUUAUCCUUUUGUCCAAAAAUUCUGAAAUUUAUACGGUAGAUUAAUCUCAUCAAAAACUGAUCCCUAUAAAAAGUUCACAUUUUUCUGGGCUGUACAUUCCAAAUUAUGGCAGUUUACUUUUAAAAUUGCAUUUUCUUACACAAACUAGAUCUCCACUUCUGGACAUCGAAAAAUUCCCAUUUUUGGAAAGGACCUAGCUAACUUGACAUAAUAUCAUACCCCAAAAGUCCAAAAUUUUUAGAGCAUCAAAAGUGACCAAAACAACCUUCCCAAAAACUAGACAAUAUGUUGAUAAGGUUUUCCAAAUUUUUCUACCCAGCAGACUAUUUUGCAAAAAAUCAUACCACGAUUUGCUCGUUUAAUAUUUUUGAGUGCUUCCACUUGGGUUUAUCAGAUAUCUCAUGGAUUUAACUCACUUCUUUGACGGAUCUCAAAAAUAAAUUGUAGAUUUUAAAUUGUAAAGGUUCAAAGUAGGCUGAAAAUUAAGGUUUUUGAAGCUAAAACCAGUUUUUCAUUUUCUUCCUUGUUCAAGCUUAACAACACAUAAAAUUGUAAUAUCUAAGUAUGAAACUUCUUAAAACACUACUCUAGAGUUUAUGAUCAUAAGUUCAUCAUUUUAUCAAAAACAAUUGUAAGAAACUCACACAAAACAAAAUAGGUUUUGAAUUUUAGGGAUUUUAUACCUUGAUCUAUGGGCUACCCUUCUUCUCCUUCCAAAGUAGAUUAUGAAUCUUGGUGGAAUGAGCUAAAUCUUCUCCUUCUCCUCUCACUACCCAUGGCAGCCUUGGUCUCUCUCUCUCUCUCUCUCACUCUCUCUCGCUCUCUCUUUCUCUUUAUUUUUGUUCUUACUAACUUUUGAAAAAU
Molecule: long non-coding RNA, 28204 nt
Filed under: Panax ginseng (ginseng)
Lineage: Eukaryota; Viridiplantae; Streptophyta; Magnoliopsida; Apiales; Araliaceae
Description: long non-coding RNA (PGIN_LNC010492)
Source: RNAcentral